Molecule: ribosomal RNA, 156 nt
Filed under: Schistocerca americana (American grasshopper)
Lineage: Eukaryota; Metazoa; Arthropoda; Insecta; Orthoptera; Acrididae
Also listed under: 1 other name
Description: 5.8S ribosomal RNA
Rfam family: 5.8S ribosomal RNA
About the family: 5.8S ribosomal RNA (5.8S rRNA) is a component of the large subunit of the eukaryotic ribosome.
Source: RNAcentral
CACCCAGGACGGUGGAUCACUCGGCUCGUGGGUCGAUGAAGAACGCAGCAAAUUGCGCGUCGACAUGUGAACUGCAGGACACAUGAACAUCGACGUUUCGAACGCACAUUGCGGUCCAUGGAUUUCCGUUCCCGGGCCACGUCUGGCUGAGGGUCG